Molecule: long non-coding RNA, 535 nt
Organism: Myotis davidii
Lineage: Eukaryota; Metazoa; Chordata; Mammalia; Chiroptera; Vespertilionidae
Exons: 3
Source: RefSeq, a predicted model, not a curated record
CGCCGCACCCCUCGAGCCCGCGCGGUCCUGCGCGGGAGAAGUAUGCGCACCGCUGGAGCGGAAAGGGACCCCGGGAAUGCGCGGGUGCCCCGGAGAGCCUGCACUCCCCUCUUCCCCCCAAAAAAGCACCUCUGCAGCUCAGAACUGUAGCCAGCGCUGAGAAAAACGGGACGGGGCCAAGCGAGCCGGCGAGGCUGUCGUGCACCCCGCGGAAGAUGAGAAACCUGAAUGCGGGGAAGGAACAGGCUCGCCAGGCCCCCGCGCGAUCGCACCCACCGGCCAGCGUGCGGAAGGAGAGUUGCACUGCAGACCAGAUGUUAAGGCAAACAUUAUCCACCGAUCGUUUGGCGCUAAAUUAUCAAAAGAAACUCCGGCUGCAGUGUGGAAAGUGGAUGGGAAGAAAGCAAACUUAGAUACAGGGAUAUGAGGUUAACUAGGGUCACCAAUGCUACAGAACUGAACAUGAGGUUAUUUUUCUACUCAUUAUUUUCUGGUGUUUUUAGCAAGGUUACUUAUUCUCCUGUCUACUUUUUCU